Molecule: non-coding RNA, 322 nt
Organism: Paramuricea clavata
Lineage: Eukaryota; Metazoa; Cnidaria; Anthozoa; Malacalcyonacea; Plexauridae
Source: the annotation of a GenBank genome assembly
AGAUAUACUGGCAAACGAGCCACUGAGUUUUCGCCAGAAUUUGAGUGGAUGGUUGCCACAACAAGGUCGAGGAAACUGGAGUGUUUGCUGGCGAGCAACAAGAGAUGGUUUUGAUGUCAAAAGUUUCCACUCUAGAUGUGACAGGAAAAAACCGACUUUGACCUUAAUAAAAGUGGUCACGAAUAACAGAAAUUUAAUAUUUGGAGGAUAUGCUGCUGAAUCAUGGGAUGGUAAGUGUAAGUUGUAAAUUAUCAUAGCAUGCAUAAAUCAUUUUUGUAAGGACAGCUACUGCUACUCUUAUAAUCGGGAAACUUACAUGAGU